Molecule: ribosomal RNA, 279 nt
Filed under: uncultured bacterium
Lineage: Bacteria
Description: partial 16S ribosomal RNA
Rfam family: Bacterial small subunit ribosomal RNA
Source: RNAcentral
UGCCAGCAGCCGCGGUAAUACGGGGGGUGCAAGCGUUAAUCGGAAUUACUGGGCGUAAAGGGUACGUAGGCGGUAAACUAAGUUGAAAGUGAAAUCCCAAAGCUUAACUUUGGAAUGGCUUUCAAAACUGGUUAACUUGAGUUCGAUAGAGGAUAGUGGAAUUUCUAGUGUAGAGAUAAAAUUCAUAAAUAUUAGAAGGAACACCAGUGGCGAAGGCGACUAUCUGGAUCGAUACUGACGCUGAGGUACGAAAGCAUGGGGAGCAAACGGGAUUAGAUA